Long non-coding RNA from Bos taurus (domestic cattle), 1824 nucleotides. NCBI's taxonomy places the organism in Eukaryota, Metazoa, Chordata, Mammalia, Artiodactyla, Bovidae. The record is from Ensembl.
GGGGAUGGCUACCCACUCCAGGAUUCUUGCCUGGAGAAUUCCAUGGGGUCACAAAGAGUCAGACACGACUGGGUGACUUUCACUUUCACCCUGUUAAGCAGGUGCCAGGCUCUGUACAGACAAGGAAACUGCCUUAGAGGCGUUAGCAGCAGGCAGUAACCACAUUGACUCUGGGCCCGUACAGCUGCCAGGCUCGACUUAAAUGUUGUUACUUAAUAUUGUAUGUCAUCACUCCUGAGACCUAGCCUUACACUUUAACAGUUUUCACAGUGGGACAUAUAUGCUGUCCUAGGUUCACUGCAGUGUUGGAAGCGCAAAUAACAAAAUGAGGUGUAUGUCCAAAACUAUCUGCCGUUCACAGUGAAUGCAAACAAUGAAUUCACAUGACGAUUUCAAGUUAGUGUGAUGGAAUUUGACCAAAGUUAAAUUGUCCAUUCACUGCCCACCAGGUCAUUAAUGAUGCUGCUCUUGCCAAAAUUGCUCAUCACCUCCUUGUCACCAAAUCCAAUGGGUUAUUCCCUAGUUUCUCUCCUGCCCUUCUGGCAGCACUGCACACGGUUGGUGACCUCUUUGCAAGUCUCAUUUCCACCCUCUGGUCUUCCAGCUCACCAUCGCCACCUGAGUCUCCUUGGCUGUCUCCUCCAUUAACCUCUCUGUGGGCCCUUUUUCCUUCUUAAUUUCAUCAUCACACACAGCUCUUGAUGCUGUUUCCUUCAGUUCAGUCACUCAGUCAUGUCAGACUCUGUGACCCCAUGGACUGCAGCACGCCAGGCCUCCCUGUCCAUCAUCAACUCCCGAAGUUUACUCAAACUCGGGUCCAUUGAGUCGGUGAUGCCAUACAACCAUCUCAUCCUGUCAUCCCCUUCUCCUGCCUUCAAUCUUUCCCAGGAUCAGGGUCUUUUUAAAUGAGUCAGGUCUUCGCAUCAGCUGGCCAGAGUAUUGGAGUUUCAGCUUUAACAUCAGUCCUUCAAAUGAAUAUUCAGGACUAAUUUCCUCGAGGAUGGACUGGUUGGAUUUCCUUGCUGUCCAAGGGACUCUCAAGAGUCUUCUCCAACACCACAGUUCAAAAGCGUCAGUUCUUCGGUGCUCAGCUUUCUUUAUAGUCCGACUCUCAUAUACAUACUGGAAAAACCAUACCUUUGACUAGACGGACCUUUGUUGGCAAAGUAAUGUCUCUGCGUUUAGUAUGCUGUCUAGGUUGGUCAUAACUUUGCUUGCAAGGAACAAGUGUCUUAAUUUCAUGGCUGCAGUCACCAUCUGCAGUGAUUUUGGAGCCCCCCCAAAUUAAGUCUGUCACUGUUUCCUGAAGACCAGAAUUUAUUUCUCCCACCCGCACCUCUGUGGGCUCCAGGCUUGGCUAGAUGUCUCAUAGGCAUGAUCUCAAAUUGAUCAUGCCGCAAAUUGAAUUAUUUGAUUUUCCCUAUAAACAUGGUCUUCCACUUACCCUGUUUCAGGAAAAGACACCACUAGAUGCUGAAGCAAGGCUUUGGGAGCCGUCCUCAGCCAAUCGUCAACAAACCCUAAAGGCACUGCCUUCGGAAAUCUUACAUUUUCCCCGCUUUUUCCAUCUUCGCUGCAUACUACCCUCUAAUGGCACACCCUCCAAAGCAUUUGUACUGCAGCCCAAGUCCACUUGUUUACACGUUUAUGUUACUCCCUUUCUUAAAAUCUUUUAAUAAUAAAUGUGCCUAUUCAGGGCCUCGGGCAUCUCAUUUUCCAACUUUUCUUGUGAAAAAAAUUAAGAGCUUCCUUGCUUUCAUUUGUUGAUUCGGUAAAGAAUCUGCCUGCAAUGCAGGAGAUCUGGGUUCGAUCCCUGGGUUGGGA